GAUGAAGAACGCAGCGAAAUGCGAUACGUAAUGUGAAUUGCAGAAUUCAGUGAAUCAUCGAAUCUUUGAACGCACAUUGCGCCCGCCAGUAUUCUGGCGGGCAUGCCUGUUCGAGCGUCAUUUCAACCAUCAAGCCCCCGGCUUGUGUUGGGGACCUGCGGCUGCCGCAGGCCCUGAAAAGCAGUGGCGGGCUCGCUGUCACACCGAGCGUAGUAGCAUACAUCUCGCUCUGGGCGUGCUGCGGGUUCCGGCCGUUAAACCACCUUCAUAACCCAAGGUUGACCUCGGAUCAGGUAGGAAGACCCGCUGAACUUAAGCAUAUCAAUAAGCGGAGGA
RNAcentral lists this unclassified non-coding RNA (336 nucleotides) under soil metagenome. RNAcentral describes it as "partial contains 5.8S ribosomal RNA, internal transcribed spacer 2, and large subunit ribosomal RNA". The stretch from base 1 to 120 matches the Rfam family "5.8S ribosomal RNA", at positions 35 to 154 of the family's 154-position model. The record is from RNAcentral.